UACGUAGGGGGCAAGCGUUGUCCGGAAUCAUUGGGCGUAAAGAGCGCGUAGGCGGUCCGGUAAGUCCGCUCUGAAAGUCCGGGGCUCAACCCCGGGAGGCGGGCGGAUACUGUCGGGCUAGAGUCCGGAAGAGGCGAGUGGAAUUCCUGGUGUAGCGGUGAAAUGCGCAGAUAUCAGGAGGAACACCGAUGGCGAAGGCGGCUCACUGGCCCGGUACUGACGCUGAGGAGCGAAAGCGUGGGGAGCGAACAGG
RNAcentral lists this ribosomal RNA (253 nucleotides) under uncultured bacterium. Its description in RNAcentral is "partial 16S ribosomal RNA". It matches the Rfam family "Bacterial small subunit ribosomal RNA", at positions 524 to 776 of the family's 1533-position model. The record is from RNAcentral.